RNAcentral lists this ribosomal RNA (1006 nucleotides) under uncultured Symbiodinium. RNAcentral's name for it is "partial Bacterial large subunit ribosomal RNA". It matches the Rfam family "Bacterial large subunit ribosomal RNA", at positions 1 to 1067 of the family's 2925-position model. The record is from RNAcentral. Lineage: Eukaryota; Dinophyceae; Suessiales; Symbiodiniaceae.
UCUUAAGAGCAUUUGGUGGAUGCCUCGGUGUCGAGAGGCGAAGAAGGACGUGGCACUCUGCGAUAAGCCGCGGGGAGAUGAGAGCAAUCUUUGAUCCGCGGAUUUCCGAAUGGGGAAACCCGGCCCUUUAGGGUCAUCGUACGGUGAAUCCAUAGCCGUGCGAGGCGAACCCGGGGAACUGAAACAUCUCAGUACCCGGAGGAAAGGACAUCAACCGAGACUCCGCUAGUAGUGGCGAGCGAACGCGGACCAGGCCAGUGGCCAGAGAGUAAGAACCGGAAGCGUCUGGAAAGGCGCGCCUUAGUGGGUGAUAGCCCCGUACGGGUAGAAAGCUCUUUGGUCCUCGAGUAGGGCGGGACACGUGAAAUCCUGCCUGAACGUGGGGGGACCACCCUCCAAGCCUAAGUACUCCUGUGCGACCGAUAGUGAACCAGUACCGUGAGGGAAAGGUGAAAAGCACCCCGACGAGGGGAGUGAAACAGUUCCUGAAACUGGAUGCCUACAAACAGUUGGAGCCCAAGGUUCGUCCUGGGUGACAGCGUACCUUUUGUAUAAUGGGUCAGCGAGUUAAUUUUGCGAGCAAGCUUAAGCCGUUAGGUGUAGGCGUAGCGAAAGCGAGUCUUAAUAGGGCGACUAAGUUUGUUGGAUUAGACCCGAAACCGAGUGAUCUAGGUAUGAGCAGGUUGAAGGUGCAGUAACAUGCACUGGAGGACCGAACCCACGCCUGUUGAAAAAGGCGGGGAUGACUUGUGCCUAGGGGUGAAAGGCCAAUCAAACUCGGAAAUAGCUGGUUCUCCGCGAAAUCUAUUUAGGUAGAGCGUCUCGUAUUACCCUCGGGGGUAGAGCACUGGAUGGGCUAGGGGGUCCCAACGACUUACCAAACCUAACCAAACUCCGAAUACCGAGGAGUAGAGCGAGGCAGACACACUGCGGGUGCUAAGGUCCGUAGUGGAGAGGGAAACAGCCCUGACCGCCAGCUAAGGUCCCUAAGUUAUCACUAAGUGGG